UACAGAGGUGGCAAGCGUUGUUCGGAAUUACUGGGCGUAAAGGGCGCGUAGGCGGUCCCAUAAGUCCUGUGUGAAAUCCCCCGGCUCAACUGGGGAAUUGCACGGGAAACUGCGGGGCUUGAGUUCGGGAGAGGGAAGCGGAAUUCCGGGUGUAGCGGUGAAAUGCGUAGAUAUCGGAAGGAACACCAGUGGCGAAAGCGGCUUCCUGGUCCAGCACCGACGUUCAGGCACGAAAGCGUGGGGAGCAAACAGG
Molecule: ribosomal RNA, 253 nt
Filed under: uncultured prokaryote
Description: partial 16S ribosomal RNA
Rfam family: Bacterial small subunit ribosomal RNA
Source: RNAcentral